UGGGAGGCUGAUACACAACUAGAGCUAAAGCUGCUCUAAUUGUCACACUGUUCUCCCUAUAGUAAAACUGCUUUCUGAUGACCGGGACGAAUUGAGGGAAAUCGUAACGGACAGAUACGGAGCACACAGUG
Camarhynchus parvulus is the source of this 131-nucleotide non-coding RNA. The record is from Ensembl. NCBI's taxonomy places the organism in Eukaryota, Metazoa, Chordata, Aves, Passeriformes, Thraupidae.